Molecule: ribosomal RNA, 652 nt
Filed under: uncultured bacterium
Lineage: Bacteria
Description: bacterial SSU rRNA
Rfam family: Bacterial small subunit ribosomal RNA
Source: RNAcentral
AGCGGCGGACGGGUGAGUAACACGUGGGCAACCUGCCUCAUAGAGGGGAAUAGCCUUCCGAAAGGGAGAUUAAUACCGCAUAAGAUUGUAGCUUCGAAUGAAGUAGCAAUUAAAGGAGCAAUCCGCUAUGAGAUGGGCCCGCGGCNAUUUAGCUAGUUGGUGAGGUAACGGCUCACCAAGGCGACGAUGCGUAGCCAACCUGAGAGGGUGAUCGGCCACAUUGGGACUGAGACACGGCCCAGACUCCUACGGGAGGCAGCAGUGGGGGAAUAUUGCACAAUGGGGGAAACCCUGAUGCAGCACCGCCGCGUGAGUGAUGACGGCCUUCGGUUGUAAAGCUCUGUCUUCAGGGACGAUANUGACGGUACCUGAGGAGGAAGCCACGGCUAACUACGUGCCAGCAGCCGCGUAAUACGUAGUUGGCGAGCGUUGUCCGGAUUACUGGCGUAAGGGAGCGUAGCGGACUUUAAGUGAGAUGUGAAUACUCGGCUCACUUGAGUGCUGAUUCAACUGNAGUCUAGAGUGCAGGAGAGAGAUGGAAUUCCUAGUGUAGCGGUGAAUGCGUAGAGAUAGGAAGACACCAGUGCGAGGCGAUUCUCUGACUGUACUGACGCUGAGCUCGAAGCGUGGGGGNAACAGGAUAGAACCUGUA